CGGAUAGAGCUAGCGAAAUCGCUCGUAUUCAGCCAAAGAUCCAUGGGCGCCAUUUGUUGAGUUGCUAAUCACGCUCGGCAUGUGUGCGUCUUGUGGAUUGAGGUGCAUUUGCGGGCGUAUGCGCUGAGACUUGUGGGGUAGCUGCAAUACCCGUGUUUAGAGGCCUCCCUCUGGGUGGAACCUAGGCGCGGUGAAGGCUGUUUGCCCCGCUCGUAUGUUGGCACGGAGUACUUUCUCUGCGCUGCUGUUUUCUUGCGGUGGUAUCGCAUGCGAUGCCUAGCUUGGGAGCUGUGGUGUAGGUCGGGUCCCCGUGCCCCUCUCGGUGUAGAAGCUGGUCAUCUCUCCGACCCGUCUUGAAACACGGACCAAGGAGUUUAGCGUAUGCGCGAGUCAUUGGGUGUUUAAAACUCAUAGGCGCAAUGAAAGUGAAGGCCCGGUCGCUGGGCUGACAUGCGAGUGCUGAGGCUUCGGCCUUAGCAUGCAGCAUGGUCCCGUUCUAGUCGCUUGCGACGGAGCGGAGACAGAGCGUAUGCGCUGAG
This 539-nucleotide ribosomal RNA is filed under the name Hemicriconemoides ortonwilliamsi. RNAcentral's name for it is "eukaryotic LSU rRNA". It matches the Rfam family "Eukaryotic large subunit ribosomal RNA", at positions 386 to 813 of the family's 3401-position model. The record is from RNAcentral. Lineage: Eukaryota; Metazoa; Nematoda; Chromadorea; Rhabditida; Criconematidae.